AUUGAACGCUGGCGGCAUGCCUUACACAUGCAAGUCGAACGGCAGCGGACCUUCGGGUGCCGGCGAGUGGCGAACGGGUGAGUAAUAUAUCGGAACGUACCUUUCAGUGGGGAUAACGUAGCGAAAGUUACGCUAAUACCGCAUAUUCUGUGAGCAGGAAAGCAGGGGAUCGCAAGACCUUGCGCUGAUUGAGCGGCCGAUAUCAGAUUAGCUAGUUGGUGAGGUAAAGGCUCACCAAGGCGACGAUCUGUAGCGGGUCUGAGAGGAUGAUCCGCCACACUGGAACUGAGACACGGUCCAGACUCCUACGGGAGGCAGCAGUGGGGAAUUUUGGACAAUGGGCGCAAGCCUGAUCCAGCCAUGCCGCGUGAGUGAAGAAGGCCUUCGGGUUGUAAAGCUCUUUCGGCCGGGAAGAAAUCGCACAGGUUAAUACCCUGUGUGGAUGAUGGUACCGGAAUAAGAAGCACCGGCUAACUACGUG
RNAcentral lists this ribosomal RNA (481 nucleotides) under uncultured bacterium. RNAcentral describes it as "bacterial SSU rRNA". It matches the Rfam family "Bacterial small subunit ribosomal RNA", at positions 30 to 507 of the family's 1533-position model. The record is from RNAcentral.